This is a small nucleolar RNA of Anabas testudineus (climbing perch), 73 nucleotides long. The record is from Ensembl. Lineage: Eukaryota; Metazoa; Chordata; Actinopteri; Anabantiformes; Anabantidae.
CUGCAGUGAUGACCUGAAUUUCUUCACCUGAAACAUGCCUUGAUGCUUUUUGAGCUUUUUAACCCUGAGCACU